UGGGGGAUCGUCUAGUGGUAGGACAACAGGUUCUGGCCCUGUCGGCGAGGGUUCGAGUCCUUCUCCCCCAG
This 71-nucleotide transfer RNA is filed under the name Hydrogenispora ethanolica. RNAcentral's name for it is "Firmicutes bacterium LX-B tRNA". It matches the Rfam family "tRNA". From Rfam's summary of the family: Transfer RNA (tRNA) molecules are approximately 80 nucleotides in length. Their secondary structure includes four short double-helical elements and three loops (D, anti-codon, and T loops). Further hydrogen bonds mediate the characteristic L-shaped molecular structure. tRNAs have two regions of fundamental functional importance: the anti-codon, which is responsible for specific mRNA codon recognition, and the 3' end, to which the tRNAs corresponding amino acid is attached (by aminoacyl-tRNA synthetases). tRNAs cope with the degeneracy of the genetic code in two manners: having more than one tRNA (with a specific anti-codon) for a particular amino acid; and 'wobble' base-pairing, i.e. permitting non-standard base-pairing at the 3rd anti-codon position. The record is from Rfam by way of RNAcentral. Lineage: Bacteria; Bacillati; Bacillota.